This 460-nucleotide ribosomal RNA is filed under the name uncultured bacterium. Its description in RNAcentral is "partial 16S ribosomal RNA". It matches the Rfam family "Bacterial small subunit ribosomal RNA", at positions 338 to 795 of the family's 1533-position model. The record is from RNAcentral.
CCUACGGGGCGCAGCAGUGAGGAAUAUUGGUCAAUGGACGAGAGUCUGUACCAGCCAAGUAGCGUGAAGGAUGACUGCCCUAUGGGUUGUAAACUUCUUUUAUAUGGGAAUAAAAUGUUCCACGUGUGGGAUUUUGUAUGUACCAUAUGAAUAAGGAUCGGCUAACUCCGUGCCAGCAGCCGCGGUAAUACGGAGGAUCCGAGCGUUAUCCGGAUUUAUUGGGUUUAAAGGGAGCGUAGGUGGAUUGUUAAGUCAGUUGUGAAAGUUUGCGGCUCAACCGUAAAAUUGCAGUUGAAACUGGCAGUCUUGAGUACAGUAGAGGUGGGCGGAAUUCGUGGUGUAGCGGUGAAAUGCUUAGAUAUCACGAAGAACUCCGAUUGCGAAGGCAGCUCACUGGACUGCAACUGACACUGAGGCUCGAAAGUGUGGGUAUCAAACAGGAUUAGAUACCCCAGUAGUC